CUUUUCAUAUUACAUUAGUAAGAAGAGGAUGUGAAUUCUCUAAAAUUUUAUAUUGUGCUCAGAAUCACUACCAUUGAUGCUGUUUGUGCAC
Long non-coding RNA from Maniola jurtina (meadow brown), 91 nucleotides. RefSeq lists it as uncharacterized. The transcript has 3 exons. The record is from RefSeq and is a predicted model, not a curated record. Lineage: Eukaryota; Metazoa; Arthropoda; Insecta; Lepidoptera; Nymphalidae.